AUGAUGGAGGACUUUGGGAAGCAGUUCGAGGAGUUCGCUGGCGCGCAGGAUAUGGAUUCUAUUGUUGAAACAAUGAUGAAACAACUUCUUUCCAAGGAGAUUCUUUACGAACCCAUGAAGGACAUUGUAGAGAAGUACCCAAAAUGGCUGGAGGAUAACAAAAGCAAGAUAAGCAAAGAGAAUAUGAACGUUACAGCAGUCUAUGAACAUGAGCCUGAGAAUAUGAUCAUGCAAAACAUGCAAGAAUGUGGUCAGGCCCCCAGUGAUCUUGUUCAAGAUAUUGUUCCGGAUCUGGAUCUGAGCAAAUUGGGACAACUAUCUCCUGAGAUGCUUGAAUCAACAGAAAAUUGCUGCAUAAUGUGA
RNAcentral lists this ribosomal RNA (363 nucleotides) under Triticum aestivum (bread wheat). Its description in RNAcentral is "partial small subunit ribosomal RNA". Lineage: Eukaryota; Viridiplantae; Streptophyta; Magnoliopsida; Poales; Poaceae. The record is from RNAcentral.